UUCAAUUAAAUACAAUAUUUUAUUAAUUGAAACCACCUACAGUUGUAUUACAAACAACAUUGUGUUAACGUUACCAAUCCCAACCUAGGGCGUAAGACACGCUCAGGGCCGAAGAGAUCACUUGAACAAACCAAACAAUGCAAUCCCGGGCCUUUGGGAGAAAAAAAAUCCCAGGGCAACAGGUAUUUAACAACAUUUACAGAGUUGAAGGAUUGUACAGGAUCACAGCUUUCAGAAAUACCUGUUGAUGCGAAUGCGCAUGGCGACAGAGCCUUGCCGGAGGCUAAGGUGCAUUACUGUUUAAAACGGCCUGGAACAAUCAGGAGGCAUUGGCGUCUAAAGGGGCACAGUCACAUCUUACUUUGUACCUCCACAGACAAAGGGGGAAGGAAUCUAGCUGAGGAGCCUAAAGCAUCAGGUAUACACUGUGUAUAGAGGUUAUAGCAGUAGAGGGCUUGAUUUUAGCACUUCCGGGUUAAGGGGAAGAGCUAAAAUUACGCCCUCCGCUUAAGUGAUAUGGAGACAUUGUUCUAAUGGCAAGGAAAGAAGACAUCCAAAGUGGCUCGCUGUCUUGUCACACAUUGACAGUACUGUGCUCGAUGGAGAAGGCUCGUUCAAAACCUCCGGAACGUGUAGUAUCUAAUAGGAAAUUAUACAGUGGUGAGAUUUGACAUUUAAGUUGAAUUUUGGCCUGAAAAUUUGACAUAUGGAAACACUUCAUUUAAAGUGUAACUUAAUUCACGAUGCCAUAACUGCUGACAUCAAUAAUCAUAAUCUCAGCAUUUUCAUAACACUGUCGAGACACAGUCUAACCUGUUGAGAGAUGCCGCGUGGUUUUAUGGUUGGUAAAACCCCCAAAAUAGUGUGAAACAGCAUACUACAUCUCGUUUCCUGAAACAGGACAUAUAACUGUGAACACACACUGGCUUCCGUACCUAGCCAAGUGAUCUGUUGUUGACAAACGGGGGGGGGGGGGGUGUCCAGGUGCAGGAUGAGACUGAGGAAUGACAUUUGGGCAUAUACAUAGUAAGCCUAAAUUGUUUAGAGGACAGAACAUGGAGAAAGAUACAUCAUAACAAGGUGUCCACAGUUACAAUUAAAAAAGGACUAAUUCCAGGAAUAUUACAUGAGAAACAUUAAGUCUGCAUUAAAGGACUUGCCAGCCAGUCUCAACAUUCCAACUAUACACUUAAGGCUAGGAUUUGGCCAGGAUUCGUCAACAAAAUCAUUAAAAACUCUAUUGUAGGCCUUCAACGUAGGGAGGUUACAAUUAAUUAGCCAAAAAGAAAGGUGUGCACAAGCAAAGGACGCAUGUUGCCAAAGCAGUAGGUGUAGGGUUUUGGCCGCUCAUUGCUCAUCAGCUUGUAGCCCAACUUGAAAACCGCAGACUCCAGCCUCUCGUAGUCACUGUGGCUGGUGAUUUAGAUCGUCUGGCAACAUUAGGCCAGCACUGGAAUAGUUUGCCUUGUAGGGUGCGCUUUGACACUCAUGGAGGCAUCAUAUUCAGCCAUACAAUAAUAAUGUCACAACGGGUUUUGAUGUGUCAUGACAAUGUGACGUUGGAUUGAGGAGUGCCAAUGUUUUGACGCUACACUUCUAAUGAAAUAAAGUGUACAUUCCACACACAAAUUUACUCCACUGACAAGACAGUAUUUACAACAUUGUUUAACAUGAGCUUAUAAAUUCACUAUAUAGAUGUUGAUAAUCAUCUCACACAAAAGCACAUUUUAUUCUAAUGUGCCAUUGAAAAAAAAUAAAAUAAAAAAAAGCAGUCACCUCUUUAAAAUCCUCUGUAAGGUGCCGAAAUAAUAACAUCUUACCAAUUAAUAAAAAGCAACAAAAUCUGCUAAAUGUUGGAUUUAAUGUUCACACUAUGGCGCAUUUUGGGGUGUCUUCAAGGGGCCAGCCAUUGUCUUAAAAUAUCAAAAGUUUAAAAUAAAAAAGUAUUUCAUUCGUAAUCAAAGUAAAUUGAAGGGCAGAGCUCUUCAUAAAACCACCCACACAAAUAAAAACACUGUCUUCAUACACACACACACACA
Long non-coding RNA from Esox lucius (northern pike), 2039 nucleotides. Lineage: Eukaryota; Metazoa; Chordata; Actinopteri; Esociformes; Esocidae. The record is from Ensembl.